This 33-nucleotide non-coding RNA is filed under the name unclassified sequences. RNAcentral describes it as "S4-Flavobacteria ribosomal protein leader". It matches the Rfam family "S4-Flavobacteria ribosomal protein leader". The record is from RNAcentral.
GAUUAUCGAAGGAUCAGACCUGAAUUCAUAAUC